Molecule: ribosomal RNA, 497 nt
Filed under: uncultured bacterium
Lineage: Bacteria
Description: partial 16S ribosomal RNA
Rfam family: Bacterial small subunit ribosomal RNA
Source: RNAcentral
GAUGAACGCUGGCGGCGUGCCUAAUACAUGCAAGUCGAGCGAACGGACGAGAAGCUUGCUUCUCUGAUGUUAGCGGCGGACGGGUGAGUAACACGUGGAUAACCUACCUAUAAGACUGGGAUAACUUCGGGAAACCGUAGCUAAUACCGGAUAAUAUUUUGAACCGCAUGGUUCAAAAGUGAAAGACGGUCUUGCUGUCACUUAUAGAUGGAUCCGCGCUGCAUUAGCUAGUUGGUAAGGUAACGGCUUACCAAGGCAACGAUGCAUAGCCGACCUGAGAGGGUGAUCGGCCACACGGGAACUGAGACACGGUCCAGACUCCUACGGGAGGCAGCAGUAGGGAAUCUUCCGCAAUGGGCGAAAGCCUGACGGAGCAACGCCGCGUGAGUGAUGAAGGUCUUCGGAGCGUAAAACUCUGUUAUUAGGGAAGAACAUAUGUGUAAGUAACUGUGCACAUCUUGACGGUACCUAAUCAGAAAGCCACGGCUAACUACGUG